RNAcentral lists this ribosomal RNA (229 nucleotides) under uncultured bacterium. RNAcentral describes it as "partial 16S ribosomal RNA". It matches the Rfam family "Bacterial small subunit ribosomal RNA", at positions 568 to 796 of the family's 1533-position model. The record is from RNAcentral.
CGCGCAGGCGGGGAUGUAAGUCAGUGGUGAAAUACUGCCGCUCAACGGUAGAACUGCCAUUGAUACUGCAUCUCUUGAGUAUGGUUGAGGUAGGCGGAAUGUGUUGUGUAGCGGUGAAAUGCAUAGAUAUGACACAGAACGCCAAUUGCGAAGGCAGCUUACUAAACCAUUACUGACGCUGAGGCACGAAAGCGUGGGGAGCGAACAGGAUUAGAUACCCUGGUAGUCC